UAGCUCAAUCGGUAAAGAAUCUGCCUGCAAUGCAGAAGACCUGGGUUCAAUUCCUGG
This 57-nucleotide transfer RNA is filed under the name Bos taurus (domestic cattle). It matches the Rfam family "tRNA", at positions 8 to 63 of the family's 71-position model. From Rfam's summary of the family: Transfer RNA (tRNA) molecules are approximately 80 nucleotides in length. Their secondary structure includes four short double-helical elements and three loops (D, anti-codon, and T loops). The record is from Rfam by way of RNAcentral. Lineage: Eukaryota; Metazoa; Chordata; Mammalia; Artiodactyla; Bovidae. RNAcentral also lists the same sequence under 2 other names.